Molecule: small RNA, 3846 nt
Filed under: Pongo abelii (Sumatran orangutan)
Lineage: Eukaryota; Metazoa; Chordata; Mammalia; Primates; Hominidae
Description: retained intron
Source: RNAcentral
GCUGGGACAGCGUCCUCAGGAGCCUGAAGCGCCAUGCAGCUGCUGACACAGUAAUGAGCUGAGCAUGAAGACAGAUUCCCGCCUAAACUUGCUGGACGACGGGACCCUGAUGAUCCAGAACACACAGGAGACGGACCAGGGUAUCUACCAGUGCAUGGCAAAGAACGUGGCCGGAGAGGUGAAGACGCAAGAGGUGACCCUCAGGUACUUCGGGUCUCCAGGAACAACAACCCUAUUUAGUAUACUAGUCUGAGCAUGUGGGUGUAGCUCCCUCAGAUACACAUGAAGUCUCCCGCCAUCCGGUGCAUAGGGAGUCACUGCAGUGUGGGGGAACCAGCCCUGAGAAGCCCAGAAGCCUAGGCCGGGCUGACACACUGCAGCCUGCAGUCCACACCUGCCUACUGCCUGUUUUUCCUAAGCUCGACCCACUUUUGUAAUCCAGCCACAGAAUACAGAGGUGCUGGUUGGGGAGAGCGUCACGCUGGAGUGCAGCGCCACAGGCCACCCCCCGCCGCGGAUCUCCUGGACGAGAGGUGACCGCACACCCUUGCCAGUUGACCCGCGAGUGAACAUCACACCUUCUGGCGGGCUUUACAUACAGAACGUAGUCCAGGAGGACAGUGGAGAGUAUGCGUGCUCUGCGACCAACAACAUUGACAGCGUCCAUGCCACCGCGUUCAUCAUCGUCCAGGCUCUUCCUCAGUUCACUGUGACGCCUCAGAACAGAGUCGUUAUCGAGGGCCAGACCGUGGAUUUCCAGUGUGAAGCCAAGGGCAACCCACCGCCCGUCAUCGCCUGGACCAAGGGAGGUAAGAGCCAGGCCCCAGCCCUUUGCCUGCUCCCUCUGCGGCCACAGACCCAGGAAGCACACAUUUCCACUGUGCCCAGGCAACCCCAGCGUGUUCUGGAUAGGGCUGAGCUGGGACUGGAUUCCACAGGACCAAGGCACUGGGAAGCGCAGAGGUGUCUGCACACCCCCCGCGGCUUCCUGUCCAUGCAUGGCCGUCCCUCAUGGACAUCAUGGCAGGAAACUCUAAGAGGCUGUGUCAUUACGGAAGAGACUUGGGGUUCCUGCCUUUGACUCCCUCACACCUGCCUUGUUUCAGAUAGUCUCUAGGAUGUGCUUUUAAGUAGCAUCUUGAAGGAAUCUAUUUGCAUAGAGGAUAGAAUUUUCUGGAAACAGUCAUGGAAUAUGUUGAAACAGACGAAUAGCUUUUGCUCUGACUUUGCUUCCCAGAGCCCUCACUGUCACCUCCCCAUUCGGCAUCAUGACCUUUUAUCACAUUCUUUGCCUACGGUCCUAGCCCUCUUCCUUCAAUGGGAAAGUCGCCAGGCACGUUAUUGCAUAAAGGCACAGCCUGGAUGGGGGUUGGGGUGAGGGGAAGAGCUGAAACUGCUGGAGAAGGAGCUACGCAGACCUCCUGGUUCCUGUCCUGGGAUGCAGGCAGUGACCCUGAGACCUCCUGGCCACUCCAGCUUGCACCAAAUGGCCAGCCCAUCCCUUCAGCCCUCUGAGGGGCCCCACCCAGGGCUCCUGAAAGUCUUUGGGGGAGGAGGCUUGUGCCUGCAUCACACGCCCUGGACUUCCCUUUUCUCAGGCAGUUAUGGGCGAGAACAGGAGAGGUUUAUACCCUAAAGGAAUGUGCUGGGGCCUCACUUGACUCUUCAUCAUCUCCAGCACUCAAUCCUCUCCCCGGUUCUCCCAGCUGGCCAUCCACCCCCCUCUGACUCCCCGAGUCCCCAUGUCCUCCUGACUCCCUGUGUAGUGCUUUUCCCUCUGUUCUCUGCCCCUGUCAACCCCUCUGUCUCAGUUAUGGGUGCGGGGACAUUCAGGUAUCACCAUGGUGUCUGCUGGGGAGGCAAAGAUUUGCUUAUGCAGGGCCAGGCCGAAUUAUUCGGUGCCCUGACCCAGGUGGAGACAAGCUUCUGUGAUCACACUGUCAGUUUGAGAGCAGGAGUUCUCCAUACGUCCGAGCGUCCAGUGUAAUGGACCCAUGCCCUCGCAGGGAGCCAGCUCUCCGUGGACCGACGGCACCUGGUCCUGUCAUCGGGAACGCUUAGAAUCUCCGGAGUUGCCCUCCACGACCAGGGCCAGUACGAAUGCCAAGCUGUCAACAUCAUCGGCUCCCAGAAGGUCCUGGCCCACCUGACUGUGCUGCCCAGAGUCACCCCAGUGUUUGCCAGCAUUCCCAGCGACACAACGGUGGAGGUGGGCGCCAAUGUGCAGCUCCCGUGCAGCUCCCAGGGUGAGCCUGAGCCAGCCAUCACCUGGAACAAGGAUGGGGUUCAGGUGACAGAAAGUGGAAAAUUUCACAUCAGCCCUGAAGGAUUCUUGACCAUCAACGACGUUGGCCCCGCAGACGCAGGUCGCUAUGAGUGUGUGGCCCGGAACACCAUUGGGUCGGCCUCGGUGAGCAUGGUGCUCAGUGUGAACGUUCCUGACGUCAGUCGAAAUGGAGAUCCGUUUGUAGCUACUUCCAUCGUGGAAGCGAUUGCGACUGUUGACAGAGCUAUAAACUCAACCCGAACACAUUUGUUUGACAGCCGUCCUCGUUCUCCAAAUGAUUUGCUGGCCUUGUUCCGGUAUCCGAGGGAUCCUUACACAGUUGAACAGGCACGGGCGGGAGAAAUCUUUGAACGGACAUUGCAGCUCAUUCAGGAGCAUGUGCAGCAUGGCUUGAUGGUCGACCUCAACGGAACAAGUUGUAUGGCUCGACACUCAACAUUGACCUGUUUCCGGCGCUCAUGGUGGAGGACCUGGUGCCAGGCAGCCGGCUGGGCCCCACCCUGAUGUGUCUUCUCAGCACACAGUUCAAGCGCCUGCGAGAUGGGGACAGGUUGUGGUAUGAGAACCCCGGGGUGUUCUCCCCGGCCCAGCUGACUCAGAUCAAGCAGACGUCGCUGGCCAGGAUCCUAUGCGACGACGCAGACAACAUCACCCGGGUGCAGAGCGACGUGUUCAGGGUGGUGGAGUUCCCUCACGGCUACGGCAGCUGUGACGAGAUCCCCAGGGUGGACCUCCGGGUGUGGCAGGACUGCUGUGAAGACUGUAGGACCAGGGGGCAGUUCAAUGCCUUUUCCUAUCAUUUCCGAGGCAGACGGUCUCUUGAGUUCAGCUACCAGGAGGACAAGCCGACCAAGAAAACAAGACCACGGAAAAUACCCAGUGUUGGGAGACACGGGGAACAUCUCAGCAACAGCACCUCAGUCUUCAGCACACGCUCAGAUGCACCUGGGACAAAUGACUUCAGAGAGUUUGUUCUGGAAAUGCAGAAGACCAUCACAGACCUCAGAACACAGAUAAAGAAACUUGAAUCACGGCUCAGUACCACAGAGUGCGUGGAUGCCGGGGGCGAAUCUCACGCCAACAACACCAAGUGGAAAAAGGAUGCAUGCACCAUUUGUGAAUGCAAAGAUGGGCAGGUCACCUGCUUCAUAGAAGCUUGCCCCCCUGCCACCUGUGCUGUCCCCGUGAACAUCCCAGGGGCCUGCUGUCCAGUCUGCUUACACAAGAGGGCGGAGGAAAAGCCCUAGGCUCCUGGGAGGCUCCUCAGAGUUUGUCUGCUGUGCCAUCGUGAGAUCAGGUGGCCGAUAGCAGGGAGCUGCAGGCUGCAGACCAGGAAACACCCAGAACUCGUGACAUUUCAUGACAACGUCCAGCUGGUGCUGUUACAGAAGGCAGUGCAGGAGGCUUCCAACCAGAGCAUCUGCAGAGAAGGAGGCGGAGCAGGUGCCCGAAGGGAAGCAGGCAGGGGUCCUAGCUUCACGUUAGACUUCUCAGGUUUUUAUUUAAUUCUUUUAAAAUGAAAAAUUGGUGCUACUAUUAAAUUGCACAGUUGAAUCAUU